AAAGAAACCAACAGGGAUUGCCCUAGUAACGGCGAGUGAAGCGGCAACAGCUCAAAUUUGAAAUCUGGCCCUCGGGUCCGAGUUGUAAUUUGUAGAGGAUGCUUUUGGUGCGGUGCCUUCCGAGUUCCCUGGAACGGGACGCCAUAGAGGGUGAGAGCCCCGUCUGGUUGGACACCAAUCCUCUGUAAAGCUCCUUCGACGAGUCGAGUAGUUUGGGAAUGCUGCUCUAAAUGGGAGGUAUAUGUCUUCUAAAGCUAAAUAUUGGCCAGAGACCGAUAGCGCACAAGUAGAGUGAUCGAAAGAUGAAAAGCACUUUGAAAAGAGAGUUAAACAGUACGUGAAAUUGUUGAAAGGGAAGCGCUUAUGACCAGACUUGGGCUUGGUAGAUCAACCUGGGUUCUCCCUGGUGCACUCUUCCUCGUCCAGGCCAGCAUCAGUUCGCUGCGGGGGAUAAAGGCUUCGGGAAUGUGGCUCCCUCGGGAGUGUUAUAGCCCGUUGCGUAAUACCCUGCGGUGGACUGAGGUUCGCGUUCUGCAAGGAUGCUGGCGUAAUGGUCAUCAGCGACCCGUCUUGAAACACGGACCAAGGAGUCGUCUUCGUAUGCGAGUGUUCGGGUGUUAAACCCCUACGCGUAAUGAAAGUGAACGCAGGUGAGAGCUUCGGCGCAUCAUCGACCGAUCCUGAUGUUCUCGGAUGGAUUUGAGUAAGAGCAUACGGGGCCGGACCCGAAAGAAGGUGAACUAUGCCUGUAUAGGGUGAAGCCAGAGGAAACUCUGGUGGAGGCUCGCAGCGGUUCUGACGUGCAAAUCGAUCGUCAAAUAUGGGCAUGGGGGCGAAAGACUAAUCGAACCUUCUAGUAGCUGGUUUCCGCCGAAGUUUCCCUCAGGAUAGCAGUGUUGAACUCAGUUUUAUGAGGUAAAGCGAAUGAUUAGGGACUCGGGGGCGCUAUUUAGCCUUCAUCCAUUCUCAAACUUUAAAUAUGUAAGAAGCUCUUGUUACUUAAUUGAACGUGGGCAUUCGAAUGUAUCAAC
This 1031-nucleotide ribosomal RNA is filed under the name Mariannaea elegans. RNAcentral's name for it is "LSU rRNA". It matches the Rfam family "Eukaryotic large subunit ribosomal RNA", at positions 58 to 1121 of the family's 3401-position model. The record is from RNAcentral. Lineage: Eukaryota; Fungi; Ascomycota; Sordariomycetes; Hypocreales; Nectriaceae.